AAAGUACUCCCUCCGUCCCAAAAUUCUUAUCUUAGAUUUGUCUAGAUACGGAUGUAUCAAGUCACAUUUUAGUAUUAGAUACUUCCGUAUCUAGACAAAUCUAAGACAAGAAAUUUGGGACAGAGGGAGUAGUUG
Triticum aestivum (bread wheat) is the source of this 135-nucleotide non-coding RNA. The record is from Rfam. NCBI's taxonomy places the organism in Eukaryota, Viridiplantae, Streptophyta, Magnoliopsida, Poales, Poaceae.